Molecule: non-coding RNA, 226 nt
Filed under: Geobacillus sp.
Lineage: Bacteria; Bacillati; Bacillota; Bacilli; Caryophanales; Anoxybacillaceae
Description: T-box sequence
Rfam family: T-box leader
About the family: Uncharged tRNA acts as the effector for transcription antitermination of genes in the T-box leader family. T-boxes are found upstream of many aminoacyl-tRNA synthetase genes and some amino acid biosynthetic genes usually in Gram-positive bacteria.
Source: RNAcentral
CAUAACGCGAUGACGGAUCGAGUAUGUUGCAGUCCAUCUUAACGCGCGGGCUCGCGCACAGAGAGGAAUUUCCGCGGCUGAAAGAAAUUCCAGAUGAAGGGCAACAGAAGGCUAAUCCGGAGCGCAGGCAAAACCUGACGCAAGGCUGCGUUACGGCCAAAGAGGUGAUGGGCGUUUUUUUGCCCAUAAACAGGGUGGUACCGCGAGCAUAACUCUCGUCCCUGCA